This 600-nucleotide ribosomal RNA is filed under the name bacterium enrichment culture clone T44x_EXP-B010_T3-_F10. Its description in RNAcentral is "bacterial SSU rRNA". It matches the Rfam family "Bacterial small subunit ribosomal RNA", at positions 147 to 781 of the family's 1533-position model. The record is from RNAcentral.
UUCAGAGAAAUUUGAGCUAAUACCGGAUGAUGUCUUCGGACCAAAGAUUUAUCGCCUUUAGAUGGGCCCGCGUUGGAUUAGCUAGUUGGUGGGGUAAAGGCCUACCAAGGCGACGAUCCAUAGCUGGUCUGAGAGGAUGAUCAGCCACACUGGGACUGAGACACGGCCCAGACUCCUACGGGAGGCAGCAGUGGGGAAUAUUGGACAAUGGGCGAAAGCCUGAUCCAGCAAUGCCGCGUGAGUGAUGAAGGCCUUAGGGUUGUAAAGCUCUUUUACCCGAGAUGAUAAUGACAGUAUCGGGAGAAUAAGCUCCGGCUAACUCCGUGCCAGCAGCCGCGGUAAUACGGAGGGAGCUAGCGUUGUUCGGAAUUACUGGGCGUAAAGCGCACGUAGGCGGCUUUUUAAGUCAGGGGUGAAAUCCCGGGGCUCAACCCCGGAACUGCCCUUGAAACUGGGAAGCUAGAAUCUUGGAGAGGCGAGUGGAAUUCCGAGUGUAGAGGUGAAAUUCGUAGAUAUUCGGAAGAACACCAGUGGCGAAGGCGACUCGCUGGACAAGUAUUGACGCUGAGGUGCGAAAGCGUGGGGAGCAAAUGGGAUUAG